RNAcentral lists this ribosomal RNA (375 nucleotides) under uncultured bacterium. RNAcentral describes it as "bacterial SSU rRNA". It matches the Rfam family "Bacterial small subunit ribosomal RNA", at positions 30 to 414 of the family's 1533-position model. The record is from RNAcentral.
AUUGAACGCUGGCGGCAGGCCUAACACAUGCAAGUCGAGCGGGGGUAGCAAUACCCUAGCGGCGAACGGGUGAGGAAUGCUUGGGAAUCUGCCUGGUAGUGGGGGGAUAACGUUCCGAAAGGAACGCUAAUACCGCAUACGUCCUACGGGAGAAAGGGGGGGAUCUUCGGACCUCUCGCUAUCAGAUGAGCCCAAGCGGGAUUAGCUAGUUGGUGAGGUAAAGGCUCACCAAGGCGACGAUCCCUAGCUGGUCUGAGAGGAUGAUCAGCCACACUGGAACUGAGACACGGUCCAGACUCCUACGGGAGGCAGCAGUGGGGAAUAUUGGACAAUGGGCGAAAGCCUGAUCCAGCCAUGCCGCGUGUGUGAAGAAGG